CAGAAGUUCCCGGCAAAUUUGAGGGGAAAGAAGAAUUAUAACUCAGUGAAAACGGAAGACACGCGCGAGAUGAGACAUUCCCCGUUACCCUUCUGGUUAAGAUUUCAAACUUUUGCACACUAAUUUCUGUGUUUGGCAAUUACAGGAAAAGAUAUCGCCGAAGAUUCUCUCUACAGCUGCUGUUUCAGAGUCUAAAUAUCUGAAUGCCCACGUAUCAUUUUAAAUAUGCACGUCCUAAACAUUUUACUCCCCCUUCCGUUCCGAUUAAUAACAAAUGACCAGGGCUACUACACCGGGCAGAGGGGACUGGGCAAAAAUCUGCACCGUUCCGCAUCUUCUCGGAGCGAGUCACUCACUUUCCAGCUAGUGUCAUGCGCUGACGGGCCGGAUCGUCUGCCUGAGAUAAGACCGCUUCAUUCCCCAAGUGAAAAAUAUGCUGUUGAGAACCAGUACAUCUUCCUAAGGCCUUGUCUCUCCUGACUGAUAGUAGAAGAGCAGUGUAACAUGUACUGUGCAGUGGGAUUCAGCCGGUUCUUUCCGGAUUGCGCGAAGCAGUAGUGGCAACUACGGGAGGCUCUGCUCACCCGUCCAGAUGUAAUGCACGACUACUGCGCAUGCACAGAAGGCCAUGUGCAUGCACAUAGGUGGAGCAUACAAGCAAAGUGUGCAUGCGCUCUCACAUUUGCAAACCAGUAGGGAAGAGAUGGCCUUCAAAAGAACUUGAAAGAACAAGACAGAUGAGAAGUGGCGUGAUAUCAAUCUUGGCAUAAGCCCUAUGGAACAGUACACCAGCAUUCAGAAAUUCAGGUGCCCUCGACCUGCUGAUGUUUCAAAAUACACUGAGGAUUUCAGUCUUGUCCUGGGAAUUAGGCCAGGUUAUUGGCCUUUGGAAAGAAGCAAAGACAAACCCACUUCUAAAAAAUCUUGGCAGGAAAACUGCACCCAAACAUUUUCCAGGAGUCAAAAACUGAUUUUAAAAAACAAACAAACAAACAACCAUCCAUGCUUCUUACAUGCUGUUUGAAGGGGUCUCCAAUCUCUUUUUUAAAAACUUGAGCAGCCCAAAGAAAGAAGAAAGAACCAUAAAACUCACAUCUUCCCUCCCCCUCCCCCAGUUCCCAAUUCUAAGAGCCAGAAAUGGUUCUUGGCAGCACUCAAAAAAUCUCCGGAUGCACUCACAAAGUAUUGGAAAACAAAAUGAGAUAAAUAACAAUCAUUUUCUGAUAGUCAUAUCCUCUUUCCUGUCUUCCUUUUUCCCCUUUGAAAGUGAAGAGUUUCAUUUAGAUUUGGCCUUUCAUUUACAGUGCUCAUGUGUACAAUCUCUGGACAAUAUAUGUAUAUAGUAUAUACUUAUUUCAUAUAUGUUUUCUGAGGUUUCAUAUUUCAUAUACUUUAAACAAUUUCCUGUGCAAUUUAUAAUAUACAAAAUACAGUGAAAUGAUUAACAAUUGCAACUCUAUAAAACAUUGCUCAGUAAGUAGUUGUGUGUGUAGGGGAAUGAAACAAAAGCAAAAAAUGAAGUUAUCCAGCAUUCACGCAGGUAAGCUAAGGCCCAAGGAAGAGUGUAGAAAAGAGCAACAAAUAUGUUAAAGGGUCUAAGCUCUAGACACAGCCAAAAGGCACCAAGUAUGUUUAGCUUAAUGAAGAAAAGACUGAGAGGUCUUAGCAAUAUUCCAAUACUUGAAGGGCUGCCACAGGGAAGGUAAUAGGGCCUUUGAGCAGCUUACAACGUUGUAAAACCAAAAAUACAAAACAUUAAAGCAUUAAAUAUCAAAAACUAACAGAAAUUAAAUAAAUUAGGAAACAGAAUGUAAAAAUAUAGAAGAAGGAUCUUCUUCCUAGUCACUAACUAUCUUCAAUGUGGAAUGCCCUCCACAUCAGGGCCUGAGUGCAAUUGAUAGAGCCAGGAUUUGAGACUCUGUUGGAAGGCCAAAAAACUGGGGUCAGAUCUCACCUUGAAUGGCACAAUGUUCCAGGAGGCAAGAGUCAUGGCACAAAGGAUCCUUCUCCUGGACAUCACUGGCCAGAACUCUUAACCAAGAGGGUCCACAGCAGAUAACUUCUUCUGGAACAAGUACUACAGGCCAGUCCCAUUGAGGCAAGACAGUUCCCCAGAUAGCCUGGACUAUGCCAUAAAGGACUUCAUAGAUAAUAACCGGUGCCUUUAAUUGGAUCCAGAAGCAAACCAGCAACCAGCGCAGUUUGCACAAUAGUGGAGUUACAUAGGCAUCCUAGGGGUACUACAACUGUCAGCAUGACUGCAAACUGCAUCAAAAUACUCUUCAAGGGAAGUCCUAUGAAGAACAUCAUGAUAAAUUUGGAGCACUGAUACUGGA
This is a long non-coding RNA of Ahaetulla prasina, 2336 nucleotides long. RefSeq lists it as uncharacterized. Lineage: Eukaryota; Metazoa; Chordata; Lepidosauria; Squamata; Colubridae. The record is from RefSeq and is a predicted model, not a curated record. The transcript has 6 exons.